GAUGAACGCUGGCGGCGUGCCUAAUACAUGCAAGUCGAGCGAACGGACGAGAAGCUUGCUUCUCUGAUGUUAGCGGCGGACGGGUGAGUAACACGUGGAUAACCUACCUAUAAGACUGGGAUAACUUCGGGAAACCGGAGCUAAUACCGGAUGAUAUUUUGAACCGCAUGGUUCAAAAGUGAAAGACGGUCUUGCUGUCACUUAUAGAUGGAUCCGCGCUGCAUUAGCUAGUUGGUAAGGUAACGGCUUACCAAGGCAACGAUGCAUAGCCGACCUGAGAGGGUGAUCGGCCACACUGGAACUGAGACACGGUCCAGACUCCUACGGGAGGCAGCAGUAGGGAAUCUUGCGCAAUGGGCGAAAGCCUGACGGAGCAACGCCGCGUGAGUGAUGAAGGUCUUCGGAUCGUAAAACUCUGUUAUUAGGGAAGAACAUAGGUGUAAGUAACUGUGCACAUCUUGACGGUACCUAAUCAGAAAGCCACGGCUAACUACGUG
RNAcentral lists this ribosomal RNA (497 nucleotides) under uncultured bacterium. RNAcentral's name for it is "partial 16S ribosomal RNA". It matches the Rfam family "Bacterial small subunit ribosomal RNA", at positions 28 to 507 of the family's 1533-position model. The record is from RNAcentral.